RNAcentral lists this ribosomal RNA (494 nucleotides) under uncultured bacterium. RNAcentral's name for it is "partial 16S ribosomal RNA". It matches the Rfam family "Bacterial small subunit ribosomal RNA", at positions 28 to 523 of the family's 1533-position model. The record is from RNAcentral.
GAUGAACGCUGGCGGCGUGCCUAACACAUGCAAGUCGAACGGAGCUGCCUUGAUGAAGGUUUCGGAUGGAUUUAAAACAGCUUAGUGGCGGACGGGUGAGUAACGCGUGGGUAACCUGCCUCCCACUGGGGGAAAACAGUUAGAAAUAGCUGCUAACACCGCAUAAGCGCACGGGUCCGCAUGGAACAGCGUGAAAAACUCCGGUGGUGUGAGAUGGACCCGCGUCUGAUUAGCCAGUUGGCGGGGUAACGGCCCACCAAAGCGACGAUCAGUAGCCGGCCUGAGAGGGUGAACGGCCACAUUGGGACUGAGACACGGCCCAAACUCCUACGGGAGGCAGCAGUGGGGAAUAUUGCACAAUGGGGGAAACCCUGAUGCAGCGACGCCGCGUGAGUGAAGGAGUAUUUCGGUAUGUAAAGCUCUAUCAGCAGGGAAGAAAGUGACGGUACCUGAAUAAGAAGCCCCGGCUAACUACGUGCCAGCAGCCGCGGUAA